UAGUGAGUUUGAUCCUGGCUCAGGACGAACGCUGGCGGCGUGCCUAAUACAUGCAAGUCGAGCGCAGGAAGCCGUUCCGAACCCUUCGGGGGGACGACGGUGGAAUGAGCGGCGGACGGGUGAGUAACACGUAAAGAACCUGCCCAUAGGUCUGGGAUAACCACGAGAAAUCGGGGCUAAUACCGGAUGUGUCAUCGGACCGCAUGGUCCGCUGAUGAAAGGCGCUCCGGGCGUCGCCCAUGGAUGGCUUUGCGGUGCAUUAGCUAGUUGGUGGGGUAACGGCCCACCAAGGCGACGAUGCAUAGCCGACCUGAGAGGGGUGAUCGGCCACACUGGGACUGAGACACGGCCCAGACUCCGUACGGGAGCAGCAGUGGGGGAAUAUUGGACAAUGGGGCGAAGCCUGAUCCAGCAACGCCGCGUGAGGGAUGAC
Molecule: ribosomal RNA, 433 nt
Filed under: uncultured Exiguobacterium sp.
Lineage: Bacteria; Bacillati; Bacillota; Bacilli; Caryophanales
Description: bacterial SSU rRNA
Rfam family: Bacterial small subunit ribosomal RNA
Source: RNAcentral